Molecule: ribosomal RNA, 652 nt
Filed under: Leucocintractia leucodermoides
Lineage: Eukaryota; Fungi; Basidiomycota; Ustilaginomycetes; Ustilaginales; Ustilaginaceae
Description: LSU rRNA
Rfam family: Eukaryotic large subunit ribosomal RNA
Source: RNAcentral
GCAUAUCAAUAAGCGGAGGAAAAGAAACUAACAAGGAUUCCCCUAGUAACGGGCGAGUGAAGAGGGAAGAGCCCAAGAUUGAAAGCUGGCACCUUCGGUGUCCGCAUUGUAAUCUCAAGAAGUGUUUUCCGCUUCGGACCAGGCCAAAGUCCCUUGGAAAAGGGUAUCGUAGAGGGUGAUAAUCCCGUACAUGGUUUGGAGCGCCCGAGGCUUUGUGAUACGCUUUCUAAGAGUCGCGUUGUUUGGGAAUGCAGCGCAAAAUGGGUGGUAAAUGCCAUCUAAGGCUAAAUAUUGGGGAGAGACCGAUAGCGAACAAGUACAGUGAUGGAAAGAUGAAAAGAACUUUGAAAAGAGAGUUAAACAGUACGUGAAAUUGCCAAAAGGGAAGGGUAGGAGGUCAGAGAUGUGGUCUGGAAAUCAACCGGGCUUUUGCUUCGGGGUACUUUCCAGUCUCGCAGGCCAACGUCGGUUUUGGGCGCUGGAAAAGGGUAGGGGGAAUGUGGCACCUCUCGGGGUGUGUUAUAGCCUCCUACUGGAUACAGUGACCGAGACCGAGGAACGCAGCGUACUCGCAAGAACGGGCCUUCGGGCCACCUUUUACCUCUUUAGGGCGUUGGCAUAAUGGCCUUCUACCACCCGUCUUGAAACACGG